RNAcentral lists this transfer RNA (87 nucleotides) under Zingiber officinale. It matches the Rfam family "tRNA". From Rfam's summary of the family: Transfer RNA (tRNA) molecules are approximately 80 nucleotides in length. The record is from Rfam by way of RNAcentral. Lineage: Eukaryota; Viridiplantae; Streptophyta; Magnoliopsida; Zingiberales; Zingiberaceae.
GGAUGGAUGUCUGAGCGGUUGAAAGAGUCGGUCUUGAAAACCGAAGUCUUGAUAGGAAUACCGGGGGUUCGAAUCCCUCUCCAUCCG